Molecule: unclassified non-coding RNA, 237 nt
Filed under: plant metagenome
Description: partial contains small subunit ribosomal RNA, internal transcribed spacer 1, and 5.8S ribosomal RNA
Source: RNAcentral
UCUCCGUUGGUGAACCAGCGGAGGGAUCAUUACCGAAGUUACCUUCAGAACCCACUGUGAACCUUACCUCUUGCCGCGUUGUCUCGGCGGGAGGCGGGUGGCGUGGCGCGCCCCACCGCGGGCCGCACCGCUCCCCGUCCCCGCCGGCAGCGCCAAACUCUAAAUGCACAGCGGACUGUACGUUCUGAUUUAAAAAAAAACAAGUUAAAACUUUCAACAACGGAUCUCUUGGUUCUG